CUGAGAGGGUGAUCGGCCACACUGGGACUGAGACACGGCCCAGACUCCUACGGGAGGCAGCAGUAGGGAAUCUUCCGCAAUGGACGAAAGUCUGACGGAGCAACGCCGCGUGAGUGAUGAAGGUUUUCGGAUCGUAAAGCUCUGUUGUUAGGGAAGAACAAGUGCAAGAGUAACUGCUUGCACCUUGACGGUACCUAACCAGAAAGCCACGGCUAACUACGUGCCAGCAGCCGCGGUAAUACGUAGGUGGCAAGCGUUGUCCGGAAUUAUUGGGCGUAAAGGGCUCGCAGGCGGUUUCUUAAGUCUGAUGUGAAAGCCCCCGGCUCAACCGGGGAGGGUCAUUGGAAACUGGGAAACUUGAGUGCAGAAGAGGAGAGUGGAAUUCCACGUGUAGCGGUGAAAUGCGUAGAGAUGUGGAGGAACACCAGUGGCGAAGGCGACUCUCUGGUCUGUAACUGACGCUGAGGAGCGAAAGCGUGGGGAGCGAACAGGAUUAGAUACCCUGGGAGUCCACGCCGUAAACGAUGAUUGCUAAGUGUUAGGGGGUUUCCGCCCCUUAUUGCUGCAGCUAACGCAUUAAGCACUCCGGCCUGGGGACUACGGUCGCAAGACUGAUACUCAAAGGAAUUGACGGAGGCCCGCACAAACGCUGUAACAUGUGAUUUAUUGCGAAACAACGCGAAAACCUUACAUGUCGUGGACUGCUCUGACAACCCUAAA
Molecule: ribosomal RNA, 720 nt
Filed under: Bacillus pumilus
Lineage: Bacteria; Bacillati; Bacillota; Bacilli; Caryophanales; Bacillaceae
Description: bacterial SSU rRNA
Rfam family: Bacterial small subunit ribosomal RNA
Source: RNAcentral